CGAGUGAGAAUGUUGGCAUCAGUAGCGAGAUGUGGGUGAGAAUCCCACAGGCCGAAAACCUAAGGUUUCCUCAGGAAGGUUCGUCCGCUGAGGGUUAGUCGGGACCUAAGCCGAGGCCGAAAGGCGUAGGUGAUGGACAACUGGUUGAUAUUCCAGUACCACUACCAUCGUUAUUAUCGAUGGCGUGACGCAGGAGGAUAGUGUGUGCUAGCUAUUGGAUGCUAGUCUAAGCGUUUAGGCAGUGAGAGUAGGCAAAUCCGCUCUCAUAAUGCUGAGGCGUGAUGGGGAAGGUUCUACGGGACCGAAGUACAUGAUUCCACGCUGCCAAGAAAAGCGUCUAGAGAGAGAAGUAGUGCCCGUACCGCAAACCGACACAGGUAGGUGAGGAGAGAAUCCUAAGGCCGGCGGAAGAAUUACAGUUAAGGAACUCGGCAAAUUGACCCCGUAAGUUCGCGAGAAGGGGUGCCUACGAGAGUAGGCCGCAGAGAAUAGGCCCAAGCAACUGUUUAGCAAAGACACAGGUCUCUGCUAAAGCGUAAGCUGAUGUAUAGGGGCUGACGCCUGCACGGUGCUGGAAGGUUAAGGGGAACACUUAGCGCAAGCGAAGGUGUGAACUUAAGCCCCAGUAAACGGCGGCCGUAACUAUAACGGUCCUAAGGUAGCGAAAUUCCUUGUCAGGUAAGUUCUGACCCGCACGAAUGGCGUAAUGACUUGGGCACUGUCUCAACUGUAAAUCCGGCGAAGUUGUAGUGCGAGUGAAGAUGCUCGCUACCCGCGAUUGGACGGAAAGACCCCGUAGAGCUUUAC
RNAcentral lists this ribosomal RNA (807 nucleotides) under Clostridium perfringens. RNAcentral describes it as "bacterial LSU rRNA". It matches the Rfam family "Bacterial large subunit ribosomal RNA", at positions 1285 to 2104 of the family's 2925-position model. The record is from RNAcentral. Lineage: Bacteria; Bacillati; Bacillota; Clostridia; Eubacteriales; Clostridiaceae.